AACGCUGGCGGCGUUGCUUAACACAUGCAAGUCGAACGAGGUCCACUGCGUAGCAAUACAAGGGAAGACCUAGUGGCGAACGGGUGCGUAACACGUGAGGAACUUGUCCCGGUCUCUGGGAUAACAGUUGGAAACGACUGCUAAUACCGGAUGACGUCGGAAUCUCGCAUGGGAUACUGACGAAAGGGUUACUGGAUCGGGAGAGCCUCGCGGCCUAUCAGCUUGUUGGUGAGGUAACGGCUCACCAAGGCAUCGACGGGUAGCUGGUCUGAGAGGAUGAUCAGCCACACUGGGACUGAGACACGGCCCAGACUCCUACGGGAGGCAGCAGUGGGGAAUCUUGCGCAAUGGGCGAAAGCCUGACGCAGCAACGCCGCGUGCGGGAAGAAGGCCCUCGGGUUGUAAACCGCUUUCAGUAGGAACGAAAAUGACGGUACCUGCAGAAGAAGGUGCGGCCAACUACGUG
Molecule: ribosomal RNA, 466 nt
Filed under: uncultured bacterium
Lineage: Bacteria
Description: bacterial SSU rRNA
Rfam family: Bacterial small subunit ribosomal RNA
Source: RNAcentral